AUACGGAGGGUACAAGCGUUAAUCGGAAUAACUGGGCGUAAAGCGCACGCAGGCGGUUUGAUAAGCGAGAUGUGAAAGCCCCGGGCUCAACCUGGGAACUGCAUUUCGAACUGUCCGACUAGAGUCUUGUAGAGGGGGGUAGAAUUCCAGGUGUAGCGGUGAAAUGCGUAGAGAUCUGGAGGAAUACCGGUGGCGAAGGCGGCCCCCCUGGACAAAGACUGACGCUCAGGUGCGAAAGCGUGGGGAGC
Molecule: ribosomal RNA, 248 nt
Filed under: uncultured bacterium
Lineage: Bacteria
Description: partial 16S ribosomal RNA
Rfam family: Bacterial small subunit ribosomal RNA
Source: RNAcentral